GAUGAACGCUGGCGGCGUGCCUAAUACAUGCAAGUCGAGCGAACGGACGAGAAGCUUGCUUCUCUGAUGUUAGCGGCGGACGGGUGAGUAACACGUGGAUAACCUACCUAUAAGACUGGGAUAACUUCGGGAAACCGGAGCUAAUACCGGAUAAUAUUUUGAACCGCAUGGUUCAAAAGUGAAGGACGGUCUUGCUGUCACUUAUAGAUGGAUCCGCGCUGCAUUAGCUAGUUGGUAAGGUAACGGCUUACCAAGGCAACGAUGCAUAGCCGACCUGAGAGGGUGAUCGGCCACACUGGAACUGAGACACGGUCCAGACUCCUACGGGAGGAAGCAGUAGGGAAUCUUCCGCAAUGGGCGAAAGCCUGACGGAGCAACGCCGCGUGAGUGAUGAAGGUCUUCGGAUCGUAAAACUCUGUUAUUAGGGAAGAACAUAUGUGUAAGUAACUGUGCACAUCUUGACGGUACCUAAUCAGAAAGCCACGGCUAACUACGUG
RNAcentral lists this ribosomal RNA (497 nucleotides) under uncultured bacterium. Its description in RNAcentral is "partial 16S ribosomal RNA". It matches the Rfam family "Bacterial small subunit ribosomal RNA", at positions 28 to 507 of the family's 1533-position model. The record is from RNAcentral.